This is a microRNA precursor of Vulpes vulpes (red fox), 127 nucleotides long. The record is from Ensembl. NCBI's taxonomy places the organism in Eukaryota, Metazoa, Chordata, Mammalia, Carnivora, Canidae.
CCCCUGCUUAACUGGAGCCUUUGAGAGUAGCAUCAUUUGAGUUCCAUCCCUAGGUCAUUCUGAUUGAAUUGACUGGAGGUGGGGCUUAGGUUUUGGUGCUUUCUUACAUGCCCCAGAUGAUUGUAAC